This 321-nucleotide unclassified non-coding RNA is filed under the name uncultured fungus. RNAcentral describes it as "partial contains small subunit ribosomal RNA, internal transcribed spacer 1, and 5.8S ribosomal RNA". The stretch from base 1 to 73 matches the Rfam family "Eukaryotic small subunit ribosomal RNA", at positions 1759 to 1831 of the family's 1831-position model. Lineage: Eukaryota; Fungi. The record is from RNAcentral.
GCAAACUUGGUCAUUUAGAGGAAGUAAAAGUCGUAACAAGGUUUCCGUAGGUGAACCUGCGGAAGGAUCAUUAUCAGGGUUCUUUUUUUUAAAAAAAGACCUUAAACCCAUCCAUCCACCGUGUGCACCAAACGAAAUCAAAAUUCCAAAUCUCGCUUCUCGUGUCAUCUGUCUCCGGACAGAUGGUGAUGAGGAGCGGGAGCUGGAGUUUUCUUUUCAUUUUAUAAUUUCUGCCUGAACAUUGUCUGACGAUUUGUUAAAUAAUUCAAUACAACUUUCAACAACGGAUCUCUUGGCUCUCGCAUCGAUGAAGAACGCAGC